Long non-coding RNA from Pocillopora damicornis (cauliflower coral), 1363 nucleotides. Lineage: Eukaryota; Metazoa; Cnidaria; Anthozoa; Scleractinia; Pocilloporidae. The record is from RefSeq and is a predicted model, not a curated record.
CCAAAUUGAUGGACAUCGACUCCAGCAGAGUUUCCCAUAUAAAAUAGAAAGAAGGUAGUUGUUUUGUGAUUCCAGUAAAACAGACUCAUAUAAAAAACAGCAAUGAUAUCGCAGAAGAAAGAUAUUUGUAGGCAAAACAGAGCAUAACAAUUAGUUUUGAAAUGUCAAUCAAAGUCACAUGGGUGAAAAAGCGCGCGCAAAGACUAUGGAAAAGCGUGAGGCGGUUAGUUUUGGUUUCACUGUAGAACUCUGAGGAGACAAGCAUCAACAGUUUGUAGAAAGAAUGCCCAAAGCAGGAGCGAGUGGUAAUUCCACUCGCGAUGCGAGUUAUAAAAAGAGGAACAAAGCAAGAAAAAAGAAGCAGAAGAAAGGAGCUAUUCAAAAAAAAACAACAAAAACUGGACGUAAAGCGCCACAAGCGAAUAAAAGUCGCAGUAAAAGUCGCGCUAAAGGUUGGUGCAGCAGUCAAUAAAAGUUUACCUCGAGCAUUGCACCAUUCAGUAGAUAAGGUGGGUUUUAUGUUUCUAUUUAAAAAGUGAAAGUGAUUCAGUCCCGUUUUGUGCUCUAACUCACCAUAAAAUUGCGCGCCACAAAGCUUCAGUUUCACCACCACUUCAUUUGUACAUUUAUCGAUGUUUCUAUACUAUAAAAAAGGCCCUUAAGUAAAAGUUGUGUAGUCAGAUAUUUCCUCUAAGAAUUGCGCGCUAACAGAACACGCUUCCCGACUGCAGCUUUAAGCGGUGACAAAGCAAAAACUUCACUUAUAUUCAUUGCUUAGAAUCAGUGAUUCCAAUGAAUCGUUUAGCCAAAGUGGCAUGCUUUUCUUGGUGGUAAUUACAUCAUUAGUGAAAACUGAAACGCACAAAUCCUCUACAAAAAUCCUAAAAAAUUGUAAAGAAUUUAAAACCAUCUCAGGUAACAAAAGCAAAAUACAAGAUAUCCUCAGCGCAGAUGAUCAUCUUCACUGCCACAAAGCUUGUAUGCGGAUUUAAGGUUUUGAUAACGCAAAGCUAUAUGAACAUUUUUAAGUAAAGACACUGCAUUCUUCAUGUCUUUCAGGAACAUCGCGAAAGAAAAGGACAGAGAGAGUUGAUGACGAUCUUGAAGAUGCUUCAAGGAACUGAACUUUUAUCUCUUUGAACUGUUCCCUGCUGUUUACGCAAUCAAGCAUUAGAUGUCAGAAGAACAACAAUAUUAACAGUAGAAAGACUGUAUAGUUUUUUUAAGUUCCUGCAAGUAUUUUAAGUUUUUUCUAGGUUCCCCUAUGUUUCUUAAUUAGCUAAGCGAAAGUUUCUUUUUUAACAUUUACACUCUUGUACUAGGAUAGGAAUAAAUGUAACACUUUUUUCUUUGUGCAGGAAAA